GUGCCCACUUCGAUAACACAUAUGCUAAAAUUGGAAAGAUACAGAGAAGAUUAGCAUAGACUCUGCCCGAGGAUGACACACAAAUUCGUGAAGCGGUCCAUAUUUUU
Molecule: small nuclear RNA, 107 nt
Organism: Phocoena sinus (vaquita)
Lineage: Eukaryota; Metazoa; Chordata; Mammalia; Artiodactyla; Phocoenidae
Source: Ensembl